AGUGAACGCUGGCGGUAGGCCUAACACAUGCAAGUCGAACGGCAGCACAGUAAGAGCUUGCUCUUACGGGUGGCGAGUGGCGGACGGGUGAGGAAUACAUCGGAAUCUACUUUUUCGUGGGGGAUAACGUAGGGAAACUUACGCUAAUACCGCAUACGACCUACGGGUGAAAGCAGGGGAUCUUCGGACCUUGCGCGAUUGAAUGAGCCGAUGUCGGAUUAGCUAGUUGGCGGGGUAAAGGCCCACCAAGGCGGCGAUCCGUAGCUGGUCUGAGAGGAUGAUCGGCCACACUGGAACUGGGACACGGUCCAGACUCCUACGGGAGGCAGCAGUGGGGAAUAUUGGACAAUGGGCGCAAGCCUGAUCCAGCCAUACCGCGUGGGUGAAGAAGGCCUUCGGGUUGUAAAGCCCUUUUGUUGGGAAAGAAAAGCAGCAGGUUAAUACCCCGCUGUUCUGACGGUACCCAAAGAAUAAGCACCGGCUAACUUCGUG
Molecule: ribosomal RNA, 492 nt
Filed under: uncultured bacterium
Lineage: Bacteria
Description: partial 16S ribosomal RNA
Rfam family: Bacterial small subunit ribosomal RNA
Source: RNAcentral